This is a long non-coding RNA of Manis pentadactyla (Chinese pangolin), 738 nucleotides long. RefSeq lists it as uncharacterized. The transcript has 3 exons. The record is from RefSeq and is a predicted model, not a curated record. NCBI's taxonomy places the organism in Eukaryota, Metazoa, Chordata, Mammalia, Pholidota, Manidae.
GGCGGCCGGGGCUCUGGCGCCCCGCGCCCGGAGGCCAUGGCCUCCGCAUGGGGCUGGGUCUAGUUGGCGGAGGGCGCUCUAGGGAUGCGCGGCUACCCCGAGAAAUUUCGCCCUGGAAUCGUUGUUCCCUGAGGAAUCGCUGGUGGACGUGCAGGCUUGGCAAGAAAAUGCGAGACGUUAUACUUGAGCCUUCUUUCAAUGCUAGGAUCCUCUAACAGGUCCCCCGAUUUUCCUCAAGUUGUGAGACAGGAAAGAUCUUGUAUCACUUUAAGAACUCAGGGUGCCUAGUACCACUAUAGAGCUGUUGGUCAGAAGAAUUGAGCAAAGUAGAAAGCAGGCACUUGAAAUAAUUUUUCAAAGAAAUUUGGAAGAAAUGGCUGUGAGUGCUCUGUGGUAUCAUACUCCAUACGGAACUAUACCUCAGCGAACACGGCGUUUCAGAGGAGCUAAAGGUCCCUUUGCUGUUCCAAUCAGUGGAAAUUUUGAUCUGUGUGAGCAUGUGUUCUAGAACCGAAGGGCUGGGGAAGGGAUCCUGGUGCCCUGAUUUGCCCUCCUUAUUGUUUCACAGAACCUGCAGCAGCCCCAGAUAACCGAAUGAGCUAGUUUAACGACUUUAGAACAGCUUUAGCGUGUUUUUUUCCUUACUGCAAAAUAUGUGCUUAUUGUAAUACAUUUAGAAGAUAAAGAUAAAACAGAAGAAAAAAAAUACCCCCUUUCAUCUUUAACUCAUUAAACACU